Molecule: ribosomal RNA, 284 nt
Filed under: uncultured prokaryote
Description: partial 16S ribosomal RNA
Rfam family: Bacterial small subunit ribosomal RNA
Source: RNAcentral
CACGGGGGUUGCGAGCGUUGUCCGGAAUUACUAGGCGUAAAGGGCAGGCAGGCGGAUCCAUAAGUUUAUCGUUUAAGGCGUCGGCUUAACCGGCGUAGGGCGGUAGAUACUGUGGAUCUGGAAUGCGGUUGGGGAAGACAGAAUUCCUGGUGUAGCGGUGGAAUGCGCAGAGAUCAGGAGGAAUACCGAAGGCGAAGGCAGUCUUCCAAGCCGUUAUUGACGCUCAACUGCGAAGGUGUGGGUAUCAAACGGGAUUAGAUACCCCCGUAGUCCCUGAGCGGGCU